This 465-nucleotide ribosomal RNA is filed under the name uncultured Arsenophonus sp. RNAcentral's name for it is "bacterial SSU rRNA". It matches the Rfam family "Bacterial small subunit ribosomal RNA", at positions 338 to 795 of the family's 1533-position model. Lineage: Bacteria; Pseudomonadati; Pseudomonadota; Gammaproteobacteria; Enterobacterales; Morganellaceae. The record is from RNAcentral.
CCUACGGGAGGCUGCAGUGGGGAAUAUUGCACAAUGGGCGCAAGCCUGAUGCAGCCAUGCCGCGUGUAUGAAGAAGGCCUUCGGGUUGUAAAGUACUUUCAGUCGUGAGGAAGGUGUUAAGGUUAAUAACCUUAGCAAUUGACGUUAGCGACAGAAGAAGCACCGGCUAACUCCGUGCCAGCAGCCGCGGUAAUACGGAGGGUGCGAGCGUUAAUCGGAAUUACUGGGCGUAAAGGGCACGCAGGCGGUUAAUUAAGUUGGGUGUGAAGUCCGCGGGCUGAAACGGGGAAUGGCCUUGCAGAAUGGUUAGGUAGAGUAUUGAAAGGGGGGGAAGAAUUCCAUGUGUAGCGGUGAAAUUCGUAAAGAUGUGGAGGAAUACCGGUGGCGAGGGCGGCUCCCUGGACAAAGACUGACGCUCAGGUGCGAAAGCGUGGGGAGCAAACAGGAGUAGAUACCCUGGUAGUC